CGGCACCAUCUUCGGAUAGAAGCGAGUGGCGAACGGCUGAGUAACACGUGGAGAACCUGCCCCCUCCCCCGGGAUAGCCGCCCGAAAGGACGGGUAAUACCGGAUACCCCGGGGUGCCGCAUGGCACCCCGGCUAAAGCCCCGACGGGAGGGGAUGGCUCCGCGGCCCAUCAGGUAGACGGCGGGGUGACGGCCCACCGUGCCGACAACGGGUAGCCGGGUUGAGAGACCGACCGGCCAGAUUGGGACUGAGACACGGCCCAG
Molecule: ribosomal RNA, 263 nt
Filed under: uncultured bacterium
Lineage: Bacteria
Description: partial 16S ribosomal RNA
Rfam family: Bacterial small subunit ribosomal RNA
Source: RNAcentral